This 506-nucleotide ribosomal RNA is filed under the name uncultured bacterium. RNAcentral describes it as "partial 16S ribosomal RNA". It matches the Rfam family "Bacterial small subunit ribosomal RNA", at positions 29 to 523 of the family's 1533-position model. The record is from RNAcentral.
AGUGAAUGCUGGCGGUAGGCCUAACACAUGCAAGUCGAACGGCAGCACGGGAGAGCUUGCUCUCUGGGUGGCGAGUGGCGGACGGGUGAGGAAUACAUCGGAAUCUACUCUGUCGUGGGGGAUAACGUAGGGAAACUUACGCUAAUACCGCAUACGACCUACGGGUGAAAGCAGGGGACCUUCGGGCCUUGCGCGAUUGAAUGAGCCGAUGUCGGAUUAGCUAGUUGGCGGGGUAAAGGCCCACCAAGGCGACGAUCCGUAGCUGGUCUGAGAGGAUGAUCAGCCACACUGGAACUGAGACACGGUCCAGGCUCCUACGGGAGGCAGCAGUGGGGAAUAUUGGACAAUGGGCGCAAGCCUGAUCCAGCCAUACCGCGUGGGUGAAGAAGGCCUUCGGGUUGUAAAGCCCUUUUGUUGGGAAAGAAAUCCAGCUGGCUAAUACCCGGUUGGGAUGACGGUACCCAAAGAAUAAGCACCGGCUAACUUCGUGCCAGCCGCCGCCGUAA